AGGUAUGCUGUAGGCAGUGCUAACUAUGGAGAAUACAACUAUGUAAUUGGAUCCUAAUAGCUGUGGUUCCUCAGAGACUUCAUUAUGUUGUUCUCAUUUUACUCCAGGCAGCAACUGGCAGAGAAGACUUAGGCUCCAAGAGGACCAGAUUCCCCUCAGCUAUGUUAGUGUUGGAGCCCCUGCAGGGCAACGCAAAGAUUUUGCUUGCUGGCCUCCAUUUCAAAGACCCCUAGUGCCAGACCAGAAGGCUGCCCCGCCUUGCCAGACCAGAAGGCUGGCCAAAGAUCCAGAACCAGCAAAUAGGCCUUUUUCAUGGGAAGACUGGCGGUUUGUCUCAGCGGAUACUGAACCCUCACCAGACAGAAGAAGUUAACUACAUGAUGACCAGACUGUAGCCAUGACCUAAACUGCCACAAUUCUGAGAACUGGCCUCAAGGAAAUGGGAACAAACCAACCCUGGAAGUAAAGAUUAAUUGCAAUCAUUUGCACUUAAAACAAUCAAGAUGAAGCUAGUCAGACCACUGAUAACUAGUUUCAAGAUGACUGUCAGAGCUGACUCUGUUUGGAGCUCCCUCCCUCUUCCUAUAAAAGCUCUUACCCACUUGUAGUGGGUGUCAGCCUUUGGACAGGAAUCCACCCUUCCCCUGGUUGCCUGCAUCCAAAAUAAAGCAAACUUUCCUUUCCACCAACCUUGCCUUUUUAUUGGGUUUGGUAUUGCAAGAAGCUGGAUCCCACUUUCAGUUAUAGAAUCAGCUCAUGGACAUACUUCUGAUAGGCAAAAGGCAAGUGGAGGGCCAUGCUCAGUUAUAAGUGGGGCUGCAAAACAGAGGAAGCAAACUGGAGAACAAGCCCCCUCCCCAGGCCCCAAGAUCCUGCUGCCCACAGCAGAGGGCAAGCAUGAAGAUGGCACCUGCUGAGGAAAAAGAAACAAAAAGCCCUAAUGUUAAAAGAGAAAGAGAUGCCACCAGAACAUGAAGAUGGGCCUGCCUGCGCGUUGGAAGAAAGCAAAGGAAGGGCUUAUAGAUGGGGUCUCAGGAAAAAGGUAAAAGAAAGAAGAUGGAGCCCGGGUGACAGCCAGGCUGGGAGAGAGACCCAGAGAUGGUGCCCAACUGGUGGCAGGCUUCCUCAGAGGCCUGCUCCUCAGGCUGAAGCUCCAGGACAAGCAGACCAGCCUCCCCCAACAUGAAGUCUGGACACCCAGCAACCAAUUGUUUCACACAGGACCCUGGAGCAGGUGUGGACCCUAAAACCCUCCUUCCAAAAUAUUCUACACCCUAAACUGAGUCUGCGUCAGCUUCCUAGAGAAUCCAAUCUGCCAUGGAUAUGUACAACCUACAAAAAACCUAUAAUUAGUGGAUUCUAAUGUAGAAUUUAAAAUUAUUUUAAGGAAAAGUUUAUGGUAAAAUAGAAAAGUAUCUAGGUGUAGUGAAAAAAAAACUCUCAGAUGCAUAAUUACCUAGCAUUUCAUCCCUCUAUCCAUGUAAAUCAUGCACAUGAAUAUAAAAAAUUAAAAAACAGAAACAUGAGAUAACCAUAACUUGACCAGUUAAGAUGUUUUGUCUCUCUCCCUCCUUCAUUCCCUCCCCUCUUUCUUCCUCUUUGCUUCCUUUUGCUCCCCCUACUGAUUACUGAUGGGCCUGUAUUUAGUCAUGGUCGAUACAAAAGCUUUAAAAAAAUUAUACUCAAGUUAGAAAAAUAAAAUAUUUUAAAAAACAUUAUGUGCUUAA
This is a long non-coding RNA of Bubalus bubalis (water buffalo), 1727 nucleotides long. RefSeq lists it as uncharacterized. NCBI's taxonomy places the organism in Eukaryota, Metazoa, Chordata, Mammalia, Artiodactyla, Bovidae. The transcript has 4 exons. The record is from RefSeq and is a predicted model, not a curated record.